Long non-coding RNA from Cyprinus carpio carpio, 1749 nucleotides. The record is from Ensembl. NCBI's taxonomy places the organism in Eukaryota, Metazoa, Chordata, Actinopteri, Cypriniformes, Cyprinidae.
UUGGAUCAAAAUAUUUUAAUAAAGCUUUCCAAUACAUCAACACAUACAAAUGGCCCUCUGUGGUCAUUUUGAAACUAAUAUAUCUACAUUGCUUCCAGCCUCGACCUGACAACAAGUUGAAUCCGGCACGUCCCUAAAUAGCCAAACUGUAUGUGUGUUUGUAAAAAGCCAAAUCGGCGAAAUUUACAGCAAUGAUGACAAUGCAAAAUCAGACCAGGCAUGCAGACCCACUUGUUUCAUCCAUUUAGAAAAAUGAAAAAGCAAAACAACUUUUUAAGAUUCCACCAAACUAACAAUAUAUUAUACUACAAUUUUAAAAUGAACGAUCUCAAAUAAGCUUUCGAAAUAACACGUAGGCUACUUUGGAAUAAAGUCCAAUACGCUGCUCCUUCCAGCAACUGCUUUGUAAAACACAGAUGUCACUUGAACGCAAACAUUUAUAUAACAUAAAUUCGAAGUAGCAAGAAUACGCAUUAUUGCAAGUUAGAGUUAAAACCUUGAAAAGUUUGGCAUCAUAAACAAGGUAAAACAUGGUUGCAAGUUGGCAGGUCAGUGAUACACGUCAUUCUGAAGGGUCCACAUUAAUUAUCUGUUCAUUCUUCAUCAUCAUCAUCAGACAUAGACUUUGUUUGGUUUUUAUCCCACGCUCACCAGCACUUAAAGUAUAGGCUAUACCGUAUACACACAAUCAGUGUUUCUUGGAAUGAAGUUAGUCAAAAGUUGCGCAUGUGCUUCUACCAGAGUCGGCUGCAGAGUUUAAGGCUUGUCAGUGCAUUGCUUACAGAGGCUGGAGGUGACAUUGUUGAAAAGGGCACAUUUGUCUGGACAGGAGGACGCUGCAACUCCUGCGGGGAACGGGUAACCAACCGGCUGCUCGUAUGCGCUCAAACCGGGCGUGAGAGCUGUGGUCGCGGGCAGCGAGGCAGCAGAGAUAGCCUGGCCUUGGUUGAGAUACGCAACCAGCCGUCUCAUCUCCUCCAGCGCCUGUGCCUGCAUGAGGAUGUAAUUUUUGGCUAAGAGCAAGGUGGCAAUUUUGGAGAGUUUCCGUACAGACGGACUGUGCGCGUAAGGGAUGACCGAGCGCAGCUCAUCGAGCGCAUCGUUCAGAUCGUGCAUUCUCCGUCUCUCCCGGGCGUUGAUGUUUAGUCUCAGCAUUUUUUGCUCUUUGUUUUUCUUACCUCCCUCUGACUUUGCGCCGGGCACCGUCGUUCUCCCGUCCGUCAUGAGCAUCAUAUCGCAUCGGUCAUCACUGUCAUCGUCCGGGCUCUGUUCGCCGCCGCUGCUCUCUGCAGCCGAAGUCCUGUUUGCGCUCUCGCCGUAUUUCACACACAAAGAUCCGGUCGGCAGACCCAGCGUGCCCGCUCGCCCCCCGGCCUGCAGCGGGUCUGGGCCGAUCUGCUCAAAACAGCUGAUGGGCGACUGGCUGUCCCGCGAACCAAGAUCAAUACCCGCUGCCGGUCGAAACGAGUCCAUCUUUUUGCUCGAGACUGCGCUGAGAGUUUUGUGAAAAAUGUCUCCACCCAAGUUUAUUCUCCUGUCCAUAGUCUCCCGAAAGUCGGACGCGAUGGUGGGGCUUCACUCGCUGUCCUCUCCUUAAGUUUCUACUCUAUGAAGUGGAGUUGAUGUUGAUGGCCGCUCCACUUGUCAAGUGAGGCUCCUCCUAAAGUGCUCUACACUGCGUUUAUCGUGUUGAGACACUUUUUAGAUCUCGGUAGCGAUCAGCAUCAGCAGCAGAAGGGGGAGUCUUUU